Molecule: RNase P RNA, 340 nt
Filed under: human gut metagenome
Description: Bacterial RNase P class A
Rfam family: Bacterial RNase P class A
About the family: Ribonuclease P (RNase P) is a ubiquitous endoribonuclease, found in archaea, bacteria and eukarya as well as chloroplasts and mitochondria.
Source: RNAcentral
AGCGAGUCGGGCAAUCGCGCGUGAAUCACGUGAGGAAAGUCCGGGCUUCAAAAGGCAAGAUGCCAGCUAACAGCUGGGCGGAGCGAUCCGACGGAUUAGUGCCACAGAAAAGAAAACUCCCUUUCUGGUAACAGAAAGAGAAAAGCUGAAACGGUGCGGUAAGAGCGCACCAGUGUCUUGGCAACAAGGCUGCUUGGUAAACCCCAUCUGAAGCAAGCGCAAAUAGGAACACUAAGCGGUUGCCUUUCCGCGUGUUCGGGUUGCGUGCUAGAGUUUUGCAGUGAUGCAGAAUCGAGAUAAAUGAUUGCCGAUCACAGAACCCGGCUUAUAGACUCGCUCU